GGGGGGGGGGGGGGGGGGGGGGGGGGGGGGGGGGGCGGGCGGGGGGGGGGGGGGUGCUCCGGGAGUCAGCGGCGGACGGGUGAGUAAUGCCUAGGAAUCUGCCUGGUAGUGGGGGAUAACGUCCGGAAACGGGCGCUAAUACCGCAUACGUCCUGAGGGAGAAAGUGGGGGAUCUUCGGACCUCACGCUAUCAGAUGAGCCUAGGUCGGAUUAGCUAGUUGGUGGGGUAAAGGCCUACCAAGGCGACGAUCCGUAACUGGUCUGAGAGGAUGAUCAGUCACACUGGAACUGAGACACGGUCCAGACUCCUACGGGAGGCAGCAGUGGGGAAUAUUGGACAAAGGGCGAAAGCCUGAUCCAGCCAUGCCGCGUGUGUGAAGAAGGUCUUCGGAUUGUAAAGCACUUUAAGUUGGGAGGAAGGGCAGUAAGUUAAUACCUUGCUGUUUUGACGUUACCAACAGAAUAAGCACCGGCUAACUUCGUG
Molecule: ribosomal RNA, 484 nt
Filed under: uncultured bacterium
Lineage: Bacteria
Description: partial 16S ribosomal RNA
Rfam family: Bacterial small subunit ribosomal RNA
Source: RNAcentral